Catharus ustulatus (Swainson's thrush) is the source of this 299-nucleotide long non-coding RNA. RefSeq lists it as uncharacterized. The transcript is spliced from 3 exons. The record is from RefSeq and is a predicted model, not a curated record. Lineage: Eukaryota; Metazoa; Chordata; Aves; Passeriformes; Turdidae.
CCUUUCUUCCAGCUGCCAUUGUCUUGUUUGUGGGGCUCGUCGUAGGAAUUGGACUUGUAGUAGCGGCAAAUGGUUCAAGGAUGAGAAUGGGUGCAAGGAGGAACCGCGCGGGAUCUUUUGACUUCGCUUUUGAAGCUGGGGGAAAUGAACAGGCCCUCUCUCCAAGCAUCUGCCCAAGGAAUGCUGUCCAGAGGAGGAACAGAUGACCACAGCACAAGAACGAAAGCACAUUUCCCUCCUUCCUUACAAGCUGCCGUAUUCGUGUCUUCCCACAGCAAUUGCUAGAAAUCCGCCACUGA